UACGAAGGGAGCUAGCGUUGUUCGGAAUAACUGGGCGUAAAGGGCGUGUAGGUGGAUAGGUACGUUAGAUGUGAAAGCCCCGGGCUUAACCUGGGAAUGGCAUUUAAUACGGCUUAUCUAGGGGACGAGAGGGGAAAGCGGAAUGGCGAGUGGAGCAGUGAAAUGCAUUGAGAUUCGCUAGAACACCAGAGGCGAAGGCGGCUUUCUGGCUCGUUACUGACACUAAGACGCGAAAGCGUGGGGAGCAAACAGG
Molecule: ribosomal RNA, 253 nt
Filed under: uncultured bacterium
Lineage: Bacteria
Description: partial 16S ribosomal RNA
Rfam family: Bacterial small subunit ribosomal RNA
Source: RNAcentral